GACGAGCCUCACAAACGUUAUUCGGAUUCACUGGGCGUAAAGGGUGCGCAGGCGGCCGGGUGUGUCAGAUGUGAGAUCCCGAGGCUCAACCUCGGAACUGCGUCUGAAACUACUCGGCUAGAGUACUGGAGAGGGUAACGGAAUUCACGGUGUAGCAGUGAAAUGCGUAGAUAUCGUGAGGAACACCAGAGGCGAAGGCGGUUACCUGGACAGUUACUGACGCUCAGGCACGAAAGCAUGGGGAGCAAAAGGG
Molecule: ribosomal RNA, 253 nt
Filed under: uncultured bacterium
Lineage: Bacteria
Description: partial 16S ribosomal RNA
Rfam family: Bacterial small subunit ribosomal RNA
Source: RNAcentral